RNAcentral lists this ribosomal RNA (468 nucleotides) under uncultured bacterium. RNAcentral describes it as "partial 16S ribosomal RNA". It matches the Rfam family "Bacterial small subunit ribosomal RNA", at positions 28 to 507 of the family's 1533-position model. The record is from RNAcentral.
GACGAACGCUGGCGGCGUGCUUAACACAUGCAAGUCGAACGGAAAGGCCCUGCUUUUGUGGGGUGCUCGAGUGGCGAACGGGUGAGUAACACGUGAGUAACCAGCCCUUGACUUUGGGAUAACUUCAGGAAACUGGGGCUAAUACCGGAUAGGAGCUCCUGCUGCAUGGUGGGGGUUGGAAAGUUUCGGCGGUUGGGGAUGGACUCGCGGCUUAUCAGCUUGUUGGUGGGGUAGUGGCUUACCAAGGCUUUGACGGGUAGCCGGCCUGAGAGGGCGACCGGCCACAUUGGGACUGAGAUACGGCCCAGACUCCUACGGGAGGCAGCAGUGGGGAAUAUUGCACAAUGGGCGGAAGCCUGAUGCAGCAACGCCGCGUGCGGGAUGACGGCCUUCGGGUUGUAAACCGCUUUCGCCUGUGACGAAGCGUGAGUGACGGUAAUGGGUAAAGAAGCACCGGCUAACUACGUG